CUUGUUGGUGAGGUAACGGCUCACCAAGGCCACGAUCAGUAGGGGUUCUGAGAGGAAGGUCCCCCACAUUGGAACUGAGACACGGUCCAAACUCCUACGGGAGGCAGCAGUGAGGAAUAUUGGUCAAUGGACGAGAGUCUGAACCAGCCAAGUAGCGUGCAGGAUGACGGCCCUAUGGGUUGUAACUGUUUUUGUUUGGGAAUAAUCGACAUUACGUGUAAUGUUUUGCAUGUACCAUUCGAAUAAGGACCGGGCUAAUUCCCGUGCCAGCAGCCGCGGUAAAU
RNAcentral lists this ribosomal RNA (284 nucleotides) under uncultured Prevotella sp. RNAcentral's name for it is "partial 16S ribosomal RNA". It matches the Rfam family "Bacterial small subunit ribosomal RNA", at positions 245 to 525 of the family's 1533-position model. The record is from RNAcentral. Lineage: Bacteria; Pseudomonadati; Bacteroidota; Bacteroidia; Bacteroidales; Prevotellaceae.